RNAcentral lists this ribosomal RNA (451 nucleotides) under uncultured bacterium. Its description in RNAcentral is "bacterial SSU rRNA". It matches the Rfam family "Bacterial small subunit ribosomal RNA", at positions 29 to 524 of the family's 1533-position model. The record is from RNAcentral.
AACGAACGCUGGCGGCAUGCCUAACACAUGCAAGUCGAACGAAGUCUUCGGACUUAGUGGCGCACGGGUGCGUAACGCGUGGGAAUCUGCCCUUGGGUACGGAAUAACUCAGAGAAAUUUGUGCUAAAUACCGUAUAAUGUCUUCGGACCAAAGAUUUAUCGCCCAAGGAUGAGCCCGCGUAAGAUUAGCUAGUUGGUGGGGUAAAAGCCUACCAAGGCGACGAUCUUUAGCUGGUCUGAGAGGAUGAUCAGCCACACUGGGACUGAGACACGGCCCAGACUCCUACGGGAGGCAGCAGUGGGGAAUAUUGGACAAUGGGCGAAAGCCUGAUCCAGCAAUGCCGCGUGAGUGAUGAAGGCCUUAGGGUUGUAAAGCUCUUUUACCCGGGAUGAUAAUGACAGUACCGGGAGAAUAAGCUCCGGCUAACUCCGUGCCAGCAGCCGCGGUAAU